This 1245-nucleotide long non-coding RNA is filed under the name Piliocolobus tephrosceles (Ugandan red Colobus). RNAcentral's name for it is "lncRNA (ENSPTEG00000022268.1)". Lineage: Eukaryota; Metazoa; Chordata; Mammalia; Primates; Cercopithecidae. The record is from RNAcentral.
AUGGAAAAAAUGAUAAAAACGGCAGACGUGGUAAAUGAGGCAGACAUGGUAAAUGUGGCUAACUCGAUAAAUGAGACAGACGUGGUAAAUAAGACAGACAUGGUAAAUGUGGCAGACGUGGAAAAUGUGGCAGAUAUAGAUAAAACAGAACAAACAAAUCCAAAUGGAACCAUCACAAAUAGUCAAAUAACAAAAGACACUAAUACAUAUAACAGUGAUUUGAAUUCUAUCCAUAUCAACAAAAGAGUGAUCGAAAUUAUGUUACCUACAAUUAAAAAAAAUUAUUUUAACUAUAUUCAUAAAUUGUUUCAAAAUAAAAAAGACGAUCCCGAUAUACAAUUUUUAGAUGAUUUAAAAAAAGAAAUAAUGGAAAUAAAUUUAAAAAUAAAUAAUUAUUAUACUGUUAAAUCUGAUGGUAAAUAUGAUAACAAUUUUUUGGAUAUAAAAAAAAAAUGUAAUCCUUAUGAACAAAAAAUAAAAUUAAUUGACAAACCUCAAUGGAAUAAUAAAGAAAAUUUAAACAUCUUAUUAAAAAAACAACAAUAUUAUAAUCCUUUUACAAUUUUUGGAACAAGUAUAAAAGAAGUAAAUUUAGAAGAAAUUUUUACAUUAGAUACAUAUAAUAAUUAUGUUUCUAGUGAAGAUAGAUUUAAAAAUAAAAUAUUAUAUGAACUAUAUAUAAAAAAUUAUAUAAAUAAUUUAUAUGAACAAAUAAAACAAACUGAAUGGGAUCAUACUUUAGAAACUUUAAAAAAUCAUUGGAAAUAUUUUACAAAUUUGGAAUGUAAUAUGUACCUAGACCCAUUAUUAUUAGAAGAAAUCCUAUGGUAUAUUGAUUGUAAUAAAAUGUACAUAGAUAAAAGUAAAGAUAUGUAUAUUUAUGAAAAUUGUUUUUGCCCUACUCCCGACCCAAAUGAAACUAAAAACUUAAAUGACAUUAAACACCAUUUUACUUCUAUGUCUCAAAAAUAUACCUUCCAAAAUAAUACCAAAUUUAAAAAAUUUUCAUUAAAUGAAGAAGAAAACAGUCAAAAUAAUGAUAACGACAGUUUGCAAUAUGAUGAUAUAGACCAAAACAACUUGGAUAUAAACAUAAAAAAAAAACUAUUCAUAAAAAAAAAAUUACUUUUUAACAUACCUAAGCCAUCUAGUACUUUUUAUUAUGAUUCAGACUUUUUUGAAAAUAAGUUUAAAAAGCACAUAUUUAAAAAAAAAAAAAACAUAUUGACACAUGUGAUCAUUUAA